RNAcentral lists this ribosomal RNA (464 nucleotides) under uncultured bacterium. RNAcentral describes it as "partial 16S ribosomal RNA". It matches the Rfam family "Bacterial small subunit ribosomal RNA", at positions 28 to 507 of the family's 1533-position model. The record is from RNAcentral.
GACGAACGCUGGCGGCGUGCUUAACACAUGCAAGUCGAACGGAAAGGCCCUGCUUGCAGGGUACUCGAGUGGCGAACGGGUGAGUAACACGUGGGUGAUCUGCCCUGCACUUCGGGAUAAGCCUGGGAAACUGGGCCUAAUACCGGAUAGGAGCCAUUUUUAGUGUGAUGGUUGGAAAGUUUUUUCGGUGUAGGAUGAGCUCGCGGCCUAUCAGCUUGUUGGUGGGUAAUGGCCUACCAAGGCGGCGACGGGUAGCCGGCCUGAGAGGGUGGACGGCCACAUUGGGACUGAGAUACGGCCCAGACUCCUACGGGAGGCAGCAGUGGGGAAUAUUGCACAAUGGGCGCAAGCCUGAUGCAGCGACGCCGCGUGGGGGAUGACGGCCUUCGGGUUGUAAACUCCUUUCGCUAGGGACGAAGCUUUUUGUGACGGUACCUAGAGAAGAAGCACCGGCUAACUACGUG